RNAcentral lists this ribosomal RNA (502 nucleotides) under uncultured bacterium. RNAcentral's name for it is "partial 16S ribosomal RNA". It matches the Rfam family "Bacterial small subunit ribosomal RNA", at positions 29 to 523 of the family's 1533-position model. The record is from RNAcentral.
AUUGAACGCUGGCGGAAUGCUUUACACAUGCAAGUCGAACGGCAGCACGGGUGCUUGCACCUGGUGGCGAGUGGCGAACGGGUGAGUAAUACAUCGGGACGUACCCAGUCGUGGGGGAUAACGUAGCGAAAGUUACGCUAAUACCGCAUACGUCCUGAGGGAGAAAGCGGGGGACCGUAAGGCCUCGCGCGAUUGGAGCGGCCGAUGGCGGAUUAGCUAGUUGGUGGGGUAAAGGCCUACCAAGGCGACGAUCCGUAGCGGGUCUGAGAGGGCGGCCCGCCACACUGGAACUGAGACACGGUCCAGACUCCUACGGGAGGCAGCAGUGGGGAAUUUUGGACAAUGGGCGAAAGCCUGAUCCAGCCAUUCCGCGUGAGUGAAGAAGGCCUUCGGGUUGUAAAGCUCUUUCGGCAGGGAAGAAACGGCUUGGGAUAAUACCCCGGGCUAAUGACGGUACCUGAAGAAGAAGCACCGGCUAACCACGUGCCAGCCGCCGCCGUAA